Molecule: RNA transcript, 1672 nt
Organism: Momordica charantia (bitter melon)
Lineage: Eukaryota; Viridiplantae; Streptophyta; Magnoliopsida; Cucurbitales; Cucurbitaceae
Gene name: Saccharopine dehydrogenase
Source: RefSeq, a predicted model, not a curated record
CGUCAGCAGCAACGAUAAACUGAUAAUGGGAUAGAGCCUAGAGGAGAGGACUGGGCAAGCAGAACUCACCUGGUGCGGAGAGCGGCAAACGAUGGCGGGAAGUUUGCUCCCUUUGAAAAGCUUUUCUCCGAUGGCCAUGGCUAUUGCCGAGACUGAACUUCCGCUUCAACUGCCACAGAAUGUUCGCAAUUCCAGGGUUUUGGUGCUGGGAGGCACCGGCCGGGUCGGCGGCUCCACCGCCAUUGCUCUCUCCAGAUUCUGUCCCGACCUUCAGAUCGUCAUUGGUGGUCGCAACAGGGAAAAGGGCGCAGCUAUGGUUGCGACGCUCGGUGGAAACUCUCGCUUUGUUGAAGUCGAUGUUGAGAAUGUAAAAUCGUUGGAGGCUGCUUUGAGAGAUGUGGAUCUUGUAGUUCACACGGCCGGUCCUUUCCAACAGACAAAGAAAUGCACUGUACUUGAAGCUUCCAUAGAUACCAAGACAGCCUAUGUUGACGUUUGCGAUGAUACAAACUAUUCGUGGAACGCAAAAGCUUUAAAGAAUAAAGCUAUAGAUGCAAAUAUUCCAGCUAUUACAACUGCUGGCAUUUAUCCUGGAGUGAGCAAUGUAAUGGCAGCAGAGCUUGUGCGUGCUGCAAGAGAUGAAAGCAAGGCUGAGCCCGAGAGGCUAAGAUUCUACUACUACACUGCAGGCACUGGUGGUGCUGGUCCAACUAUAUUAGCUACUAGUUUCUUACUGCUGGGAGAGGAGGUAGUCGCCUAUAAUAAAGGGGAAAAGCUCAAACUCAAACCUUAUAGUGGCAUGCUCAACAUUGACUUUGGAAUAGGAAUUGGAAAGAGAGAUGUAUUUCUGCUGAAUUUGCCAGAGGUAAGCACUGCACAUGAGAUCCUGAGAGUGCCGACAGUCAGUGCUCGUUUUGGUACUGCUCCUUUUUUUUGGAAUUGGGGAAUGUUAGCCUUGACAAAUUUUUUACCUCUGGAAUAUUUUAGAGAUAGAAGCAAAGUUCAAAAAUUGGUCCAAUUGUUUGAUCCUUUUGUUCGGGCAUUAGAUGGCCUUGCUGGAGAACGUGUAUCCAUGAGGGUUGAUUUGGAGUGUUCGAAUGGGCGUAACACACUGGGUAUUUUCAGUCAUCGGAGGCUCUCCCAAUCAGUGGGAAACGCGACAGCUGCAUUUGCUCUUGCUGUUCUCGAGGGAAGCACACAGCCUGGAGUUUGGUUUCCAGAAGAGCCCGAAGGAAUAGCAGUUGAAGCCAGGGAAGUUCUUCUAAAACGCGCUGCCCAAGGAACAAUCAAUUUUGUGAUGAACAAGCCUCCAUGGAUGGUUGAAACAGAGCCCAAAGAACUUGGUUUAGGAAUAUAUGUGUGAUAUUUCUCCAUGACACUAAAUCUUUCUUUUGUCAACUUCCUGGUGUUGCAAGAGGUGCUGGAAGUAGUUGAUUUAUGAAGAAUGCCCUUUUUUUUGUCUGAUUCUGAUUCUGAUUAGAUCAGAUUAGCUCGUGGAUAGCAGAUGACGAGAAGGAAUUUCAUGUAAUUUAUGUAGAGAUUUAAGAAACUUUUUACUUAUGCUGGAGGUUUUGCUUUUAGAAAAUUGUUUUUGUUUUCAACAAUGAAAACGGAAACUAUUUGGACGUUGAAAAAACUCGUUCUUUCACCUUUUACAGUAAAAAUUCAUUAA